GUGGAUUAGAUACCCUAGUAGUCCACGCCGUAAACGAUGAUAACUAGCUGUCGGGGCUCUUAGAGCUUCGGUGGCGCAGCUAACGCAUUAAGUUAUCCGCCUGGGGAGUACGGCCGCAAGGUUAAAACUCAAAGGAAUUGACGGGGGCCUGCACAAGCGGUGGAGCAUGUGGUUUAAUUCGAAGCAACGCGCAGAACCUUACCAGCGUUUGACAUGGCAGGACGAUUUCCAGAGAUGGACUUCUUCUCGUAAGAGACCUGCACACAGGUGCUGCACGGCCGUCGUCAACU
RNAcentral lists this ribosomal RNA (290 nucleotides) under uncultured bacterium. RNAcentral describes it as "partial 16S ribosomal RNA". It matches the Rfam family "Bacterial small subunit ribosomal RNA", at positions 773 to 1060 of the family's 1533-position model. The record is from RNAcentral.